GUUUAUGGCCAUACCACCCUGAACACACCCAUUCUCUUCUGAUCUUGGAAGACAGACUGGGAGAAUUAACCAGAGAGUUAAUUAACCAGUGUGGUGGUUUGAUUCAGGUGUCCCCCAUAAANN
RNAcentral lists this ribosomal RNA (123 nucleotides) under Jaculus jaculus (lesser Egyptian jerboa). Lineage: Eukaryota; Metazoa; Chordata; Mammalia; Rodentia; Dipodidae. The record is from RNAcentral.